Molecule: unclassified non-coding RNA, 608 nt
Filed under: Agaricomycetidae sp. SB1
Lineage: Eukaryota; Fungi; Basidiomycota; Agaricomycetes
Description: sequence contains 18S rRNA gene, ITS1, 5.8S rRNA gene, ITS2 and 28S rRNA gene
Rfam family: 5.8S ribosomal RNA (bases 188-346)
Source: RNAcentral
GAGUCAUUAUAGAAUUGAAGCAAGGGGGUCGAUGGCCUCCUUGCGGGGGAAUAAGGGCACCCCCGAUUUCUUAAAUCCGAACGCACGUCACAACCCACCCUGGGAACUUCUCGGAGAUUGCCUCUUAUACUGAAAGACUGUCUCAUAAAAAUGUCAAACGUGUUGCUUUAUUAACAUGAUUGAGUACUACUUUAAAAACCGAACCUCUUCAAUAAAAAAUCGAAAAAGAACGCAUCAAAGUGCCAUCGAAAUGUGAAUUGAAAUUUUUCCCCUGAAUCAUCCCUUCUUUGAACGCCUGUUUGCAGCCCCUUGGUAACCCCGAGGGGCCUGCCCUGUUUGAGUGUAUUAAACCAUCAACCUCGCCGAUCCCCAUUUAGGCGAGGCUUGGACUUUGGAGCGGGCUGGACCGAAAGGGUUUUUGUCCUCCUUAAAGGAAAAGCGGUUUUGGGGGGGGGGGGGGUCCCCCCCCCCCCGCUAAAUCCUGUGGCGGCACUCGGCCGUAACCAGGUCCUCUCACAAUCCGGUUCAAACAACACAUAUCCAUUUUGACUUCAUUGCAGGUAGGACUACCCGUUGAACUUAAUCAUACCCAUAAGAGGAUGUAAGUU